GACGAACGCUGGCGGCGUGCUUAACACAUGCAAGUCGAGCGGAAAGGCCCUGCUUUUGUGGGGUGCUCGCGUGGCGCACGGGUGAGUAACACGUGAGUAUCCCGCCCUUGACUUUGGGAUAACUUCAGGCAACUGGGGCUAAUACCGGCUAGGAGCUCCUGAUGCAUGGUGGGGGUUGGACAGUUUCGGCGGUUGGGGAUGGACUCGCGGCUUAUCAGCUUGUUGGUUGAGUAGUGGCUUACCCAGGCUUUGACGGAUAGCCGGCCUGGGAGGGUGAACGGCGACAUUGGUACUGAGAGACGGCCCAGACGCCAAUGGGAGGCAGCAGGGGGGAGUAUGACACAGUGGGCGGAAGCCUGAGACGAAGACGUCGCGAGCGUAAUGACGGCCUACUGGUUGUAAACCGCUGUCGCCUAUGACGAAGCGGGAGUGACGGUAAUGGGUAAAGAAGCACCGGCUAACUACGUG
This 468-nucleotide ribosomal RNA is filed under the name uncultured bacterium. Its description in RNAcentral is "partial 16S ribosomal RNA". It matches the Rfam family "Bacterial small subunit ribosomal RNA", at positions 28 to 507 of the family's 1533-position model. The record is from RNAcentral.